RNAcentral lists this ribosomal RNA (520 nucleotides) under uncultured Entrophospora. Its description in RNAcentral is "SSU rRNA". It matches the Rfam family "Eukaryotic small subunit ribosomal RNA", at positions 569 to 1085 of the family's 1831-position model. The record is from RNAcentral. Lineage: Eukaryota; Fungi; Glomeromycota; Glomeromycetes; Entrophosporales; Entrophosporaceae.
AGCAGCCGCGGUAAUUCCAGCUCCAAUAGCGUAUAUUAAAGUUGUUGCAGUUAAAAAGCUCGUAGUUGAAUUUCGGGAUUGACACAUCGGUCGUGCCUUAAGGGGUAUGAACUGGUGUAGUCAAUUUCUCACCUUCUGGAGAACCGCGAUGCCCUUAAUUGGGUGUCGCGGGGAACCAGGACCUUUACUUUGAAAAAAUUAGAGUGUUUAAAGCAGGCAUUUUGCUUGAAUACAUUAGCAUGGAAUAAUAAAAUAGGACGGCAUGAUUCUAUUUUGUUGGUUUCUAGGAUCACCGUAAUGAUUAAUAGGGAUAGUUGGGGGCAUUAGUAUUCAAUUGUCAGAGGUGAAAUUCUUGGAUUUAUUGAAGACUAACUACUGCGAAAGCAUUUGCCAAGGAUGUUUUCAUUAAUCAAGAACGAAAGUUAGGGGAUCGAAGACGAUCAGAUACCGUCGUAGUCUUAACCAUAAACUAUGCCGACUAGGAAUCAGACGAUGUUAAUUUUUAAUGACUCAUUCGGCG